Molecule: ribosomal RNA, 29 nt
Filed under: Uwebraunia dekkeri
Lineage: Eukaryota; Fungi; Ascomycota; Dothideomycetes; Mycosphaerellales; Dissoconiaceae
Description: partial 28S ribosomal RNA
Source: RNAcentral
CAAGGUUGACCUCGGAUCAGGUAGGGAUA